CAUCCAUGGCUGGGCGAGAGAGGGGUCAUACACUGUGUUCUCAGAAGAAUGUUGUGAAAGUGUCAUUGAACCCCCUUUUCUACAACCAAAUCAAACCAGUUCCUGUUGUUGGUGCCAAGAUCAACUGUGGCCCGAGCCUCCUCAACCACCCACUGGCCAUUUGCAAGAAACAUCUGAUGGAGACUUCUCCUUUGGAUGCAGAGCCAAAGAUAGAGGAAAGAACUUGAAGACAAUGCCUGAAGAAUCAACACCUCCCAGCAUGGCCAGGAGGCAGAGCUGGACCAGGGAGGAUUGCUUCCUGCAUUAGCUUCAGAACUUGGCAAGUAUUCUGUAGGGAAAAUCAUGCUCAUAUUUGGAGUAUUUCAGGAUACAACUUUAUUACUUCAGCAACAUGUGUCUGCUAAAAGCUGCUUUCUGCUGCUUUCUGUGUUCUCAGCAAAGGUGACCGAGAGUUGGGGGGAAAAGACAAAUGGAAAUAAGCAGCUAAUCAUGAACAGAUUCUCCACUCUCUGGAAGAAAUCACAGAAAACAAGAAAGAAAAAUAAAACCACCACAAAUUCCUAAUUUAAUCUUGACAUGGAAGUACUUUAAAACACAAACAAGAUUCAAGAGUAAACAAAGGCUCCAGCAAGGUGGCUCACACCUCUAAUCCCAGCCGUUUGGGAGACUGAGGUGGACGGAUCACUUAAAGACAAAAAU
Long non-coding RNA from Homo sapiens (human), 699 nucleotides. RefSeq lists it as uncharacterized. NCBI's taxonomy places the organism in Eukaryota, Metazoa, Chordata, Mammalia, Primates, Hominidae. The record is from RefSeq and is a predicted model, not a curated record. The transcript has 4 exons.